Long non-coding RNA from Gavialis gangeticus (Gharial), 835 nucleotides. RefSeq lists it as uncharacterized. The record is from RefSeq and is a predicted model, not a curated record. NCBI's taxonomy places the organism in Eukaryota, Metazoa, Chordata, Crocodylia, Gavialidae. The transcript is spliced from 2 exons.
GGGGGAGGUGGAGAGAUGUAAUGCAGCUUUCCAGAACGAGAAGUUCUCUCCCCGGUUUACAUUUUUCAGCUCAUUGACGUAUGUGAAAGAAAAAACAAGUGAUAAAUUCUCAACCUCAGCAUACAUUUCAGGCCGUCACUCCUAAUUAUUUCUAUCAGUCCUAUUGUCAGUUGCACUCCCUUACUGGCCUCCCCCAACAUAAAAGUGAUACUUUCCAAGUUUUAGCGGUUUAAUGAAGCAGCAUUUUUGUAGGCCCAAUUCGCAGGUGCAGCAGAGGCCUUGGCAAGGGGCAAACUGAUUAUCGCUUAUGAAAACAGCCACACUGUAUUGUUCAUACUUCUUCAAGGUCUUGAGCAAAGCAUAAAUUCUGAUGAAAAUGAACUGGGUGCAGUCAGAGAUUGAGACAGCUAAUAAGGUUCCCUCUCUGCACCCUUGCCACCUGGGGAAUUUCCAUUACUUUUGCUCGUUGUUCCUUUUUCCUAUGCAUAUACUUCUUUGAGAAUUGGAUCUAAAGAGGCAUAGGGCAUGGGAAAAUGGGGCGACUGAGGUACUCCACCAGUCACCCUGCAAAGCAUUGCUAGGAGGCAUGUAAGAAAAAUGCACUGAAAGUCACAGGUAUAAAGAAACAGUGGUUUUAUUGCAAAACACUUAUUGUGAAGAAAAUGCUUAUGAAUAGUAGUAAUAUGUGAGAAAUUGAUAUAAUUUUUAUUAGGGAAGAAUAGCUGAAAGUUUAUUGCAUAUUAAAGUUGCUUUUUAAUGUGUUAUGGGAAUAGUAUGUUCUUAGCUGUUUGUCCAAAUACAAGAAUCAGUAUGCCUACUAGAGAUUAAGCUUUUA